This 301-nucleotide ribosomal RNA is filed under the name uncultured bacterium. RNAcentral describes it as "partial 16S ribosomal RNA". It matches the Rfam family "Bacterial small subunit ribosomal RNA", at positions 509 to 807 of the family's 1533-position model. The record is from RNAcentral.
CAGUAGCCACGGGAAUACGGAGGGUGCAAGCGUUAAUCGGAAUUACUGGGCGUAAAGCGCACGCAGGCGGUCUGACAAGUCAGAUGUGAAAUCCCCGGGCUUAACCUGGGAACUGCAUUUGAAACUGUCAGGCUGGAGUCUUGUAGAGGGGGGUAGAAUUCCAGGUGUAGCGGUGAAAUGCGUAGAGAUCUGGAGGAAUACCGGUGGCGAAGGCGGCCCCCUGGACAAAGACUGACGCUCAGGUGCGAAAGCGUGGGGAGCAAACAGGAUUAGAUACCCCAGUAGUCCCUGUCUCUUAUAC